UACAGAGGGGGCAAGCGUUGUUCGGAAUUACUGGGCGUAAAGGGCGCGUAGGCGGCCUCUUAAGUCGAACGUGAAAUCCCCGGGCUCAACCCGGGAACUGCGUCCGAUACUGGGGGGCUUGAAUCCGGGAGAGGAUGGUGGAAUUCCCAGUGUAGAGGUGAAAUUCGUAGAUAUUGGGAAGAACACCGAUGGCGAAGGCAGCCAUCUGGACCGACACUGACGCUGAGGCGCGAAAGCGUGGGGAGCAAACAGG
This 253-nucleotide ribosomal RNA is filed under the name uncultured bacterium. Its description in RNAcentral is "partial 16S ribosomal RNA". It matches the Rfam family "Bacterial small subunit ribosomal RNA", at positions 524 to 776 of the family's 1533-position model. The record is from RNAcentral.